RNAcentral lists this ribosomal RNA (511 nucleotides) under uncultured bacterium. Its description in RNAcentral is "bacterial SSU rRNA". It matches the Rfam family "Bacterial small subunit ribosomal RNA", at positions 34 to 518 of the family's 1533-position model. The record is from RNAcentral.
CGCUGGCGGCGUGCCUAAUACAUGCAAGUCGAACGGUCUUUCUAUGGAAGCUUGCUUCCACUGAGAAGAUAGUGGCGAACGGGUGAGUAACACGUGGGUAACCUGCCCAUAAGAGGGGGACAACAUCCGGAAACGGGUGCUAAUACCGCAUAGUCUUCUUGAUCGCAUGAUCGGGAAAGGAAAGACGGCCUUUGUGCUGUCGCUUAUGGAUGGACCCGCGGCGUAUUAGUUAGUUGGUGAGGUAACGGCUCACCAAGACGAUGAUACGUAGCCGACCUGAGAGGGUGAUCGGCCACAUUGGGACUGAGACACGGCCCAAACUCCUACGGGAGGCAGCAGUAGGGAAUCUUCCGCAAUGGACGAAAGUCUGACGGAGCAACGCCGCGUGAGUGAAGAAAGGUUUUCGGAUCGUAAAACUCUGUUGUCAGAGAAGAACAAGUUGGAGAGUAACUGCUCCAGCCUUGACGGUAUCUGACCAGAAAGCCACGGCUAACUACGUGCCAGCCGCUGC